GACGUAGGGGGCGAGCGUUGUCCGGAUUUAUUGGGCGUAAAGAGCUCGUAGGCGGCUCGUUGCGUCGGCUGUGAAAACCCGCAGCUCAACUGUGGGCUUGCAGCCGAUACGGGCGGGCUGGAGUUCGGUAGGGGAGACUGGAAUUCCUGGUGUAGCGGUGAAAUGCGCAGAUAUCAGGAGGAACACCGGUGGCGAAGGCGGGUCUCUGGGCAGUAACUGACGCUGAGGAGCGAAAGCGUGGGGAGCGAACAGG
RNAcentral lists this ribosomal RNA (253 nucleotides) under uncultured bacterium. RNAcentral's name for it is "partial 16S ribosomal RNA". It matches the Rfam family "Bacterial small subunit ribosomal RNA", at positions 524 to 776 of the family's 1533-position model. The record is from RNAcentral.